CCUACGGGAGGCAGCAGUGGGGAAUCUUGGACAAUGGGGGCAACCCUGAUCCAGCGAUGCCGCGUGAGUGAAGAAGGCCUUCGGGUCGUAAAGCUCUUUAGGUUGGGAAGAAGGUUGUUAGUUUAAGAGAUAAACAAUUUGACUGUACCAACAGAAUAAGCACCGGCAAACUCUGUGCCAGCAGCCGCGGUAAUACAGAGGGUGCGAGCGUUAAUCGGAGUUACUGGGCGUAAAGGGCGCGUAGGCGGUUAUAUGAGUGUGAUGUGAAAGCCCCG
This 275-nucleotide ribosomal RNA is filed under the name uncultured Aquicella sp. RNAcentral's name for it is "partial 16S ribosomal RNA". It matches the Rfam family "Bacterial small subunit ribosomal RNA", at positions 338 to 605 of the family's 1533-position model. Lineage: Bacteria; Pseudomonadati; Pseudomonadota; Gammaproteobacteria; Legionellales; Coxiellaceae. The record is from RNAcentral.